AUUGAACUCUGGCGGCAGGCUUCACACAUGCAAGUCGAGCGAGCGGCGGCCGGGUGAGUCAUGUCUGGGAAACUGCCUGAUGGAGGGGGAUAACUACUGGAAACGGUAGCUAAUACCGCAUACCAUCAGAUGUGCCCAGAUGGGAUUAGCUCGUAGGUGGUGUAAUGGCGCACCUAGGCGAAGAUCCCUAGCUGGUCUGAGAGGAUGACCAGCCACACGGGAACUGAGACACGGUCCAGAGUCCUACGGGAGGCAGCAGUGGGGAAUAUUGCACAAUGGGCGCAAGCCUGAUGCAGCCAUGCCGCGUGCGUGAAGAAGACCUUCGGGUUGUAAAGCACUUUCAGCGAGGAGGCGUUACUCGCAGAAGAAGCACCGGCUAACUCCGUGCCAGCAGCCGCGGUAAUUC
RNAcentral lists this ribosomal RNA (406 nucleotides) under uncultured bacterium. Its description in RNAcentral is "partial 16S ribosomal RNA". It matches the Rfam family "Bacterial small subunit ribosomal RNA", at positions 30 to 526 of the family's 1533-position model. The record is from RNAcentral.